RNAcentral lists this ribosomal RNA (254 nucleotides) under uncultured bacterium. Its description in RNAcentral is "partial 16S ribosomal RNA". It matches the Rfam family "Bacterial small subunit ribosomal RNA", at positions 524 to 777 of the family's 1533-position model. The record is from RNAcentral.
UACGUAGGGGGCUAGCGUUGUCCGGAUUUAUUGGGCGUAAAGAGCGUGUAGGCGGCCAGGUAGGUCUGCUGUGAAAACUCGAGGCUCAACCUCGAGACGUCGGCGGAAACCAUCUGGCCAGAGUCCGGAAGAGGAGAGUGGAAUUCCUGGUGUAGCGGUGAAAUGCGCAGAUAUCAGGAAGAACACCCGUGGCGAAGGCGGCUCUCUGGGACGGUACUGACGCUGAGACGCGAAAGCGUGGGGAGCGAACAGGG